GAUGAACGCUGGCGGCGUGCCUAAUACAUGCAAGUCGAGCGAACGGACGAGAAGCUUGCUUUUCUGAUGUUAGCGGCGGACGGGUGAGUAACACGUGGAUAACCUACCUAUAAGACUGGGAUAACUUCGGGAAACCGGAGCUAAUACCGGCUAAUAUUUUGAACCGCAUGGUUCAAAAGUGCAUGACGGUCUUGCUGUCACUUAUAGAUGGAUCCGCGCUGCAUUAGCUAGUUGGUAAGGUAACGGCUUACCAAGGCAACGAUGCGUAGCCGAGCUGAGAGGGUGAUCAGCCACACUGGAACUGAGACACGGUCCAGACUCCUACGGGAGGCAGCAGUAGGGAAUAUUCCACAAUGGGCGAAAGCCUGACGGAGCAACGCCGCGUGAGUGAUGAAGGUCUUCGGAUCGUAAAACUCUGUUAUUAGGGAAGAACAUAUGUGUAAGUAACUGUGCACAUCUUGACGGUACCUAAUCAGAAAGCCACGGCUAACUACGUG
This 497-nucleotide ribosomal RNA is filed under the name uncultured bacterium. RNAcentral describes it as "partial 16S ribosomal RNA". It matches the Rfam family "Bacterial small subunit ribosomal RNA", at positions 28 to 507 of the family's 1533-position model. The record is from RNAcentral.